CAGCAAAUAGCAGGCCAUGAGAUUUUCAACGUGUUUCUGCGCUGCCAACUUUAUUUUGGCAGUGUCAUCAAAUGGACAAGGUCGUUGCGAUUUGUCAGACAAAGCAAUAAUGCUCUUUUUAUGCCGAAUGAGGCUCAGUAAGACGCUGGGCAAUCUAAUAUAAACUUCUGGAGUUUUCUUUCGAAUUAGGAAUUUGAGAUUUUAUUUUUCCUAGCAAGCCUUUACAUAUUAUUCACCAUGCCGGGAACGUGCCGACUACUCUGCGAAGGAAUCUAUGAGACAGGAGAAGAGUUUGGCUUUCUGAUUCAGAGCAAUAUACUGGUUGACGAAAAUUGGCAUAUUGCAGGUCUAGGGAAAUCUCCGAAGGACUAUCUGGUUUCUAUAGGAUAAAAGGAAUCUGCGUGGACGAGAAGAUAUGGUAAACCUCAUCCUGUCAGAUUUCCGCAUGUGGUCAAUUUUGAAGGCAUAAAUCUACUGGACAACCACGUCAGACUUCUCAACCAGUAUAUAUGGCUGUAGCCCCGUGUCUACUGGGAGGUGACUCCCACAGUGAAUUGAACGGCCCUACUUUGCGCCACCCAGGUGUUGUGUUAGGAGAACAUGAGGGUCUCUCAUUCCUGACAGGUGCUGUUCGUUUAAGCCACUAUUAAAC
RNAcentral lists this small RNA (652 nucleotides) under Histoplasma ohiense. RNAcentral's name for it is "hypothetical lncRNA". Lineage: Eukaryota; Fungi; Ascomycota; Eurotiomycetes; Onygenales; Ajellomycetaceae. The record is from RNAcentral.